This 449-nucleotide long non-coding RNA is filed under the name Ricinus communis (castor bean). RNAcentral's name for it is "long non-coding RNA (RCOM_LNC002378)". Lineage: Eukaryota; Viridiplantae; Streptophyta; Magnoliopsida; Malpighiales; Euphorbiaceae. The record is from RNAcentral.
AAUGCAAUUGGGUCGUGAAUAUGCAGCAAGUCUGCAUAGAGAUCAUUUGAUACUCUGGCCCAUGAAAAUGGAAGUAAAAAUACUGGUUAAUAUAAUCAACUGAAGGGGCCAUGAAAAGGAGGGGGAAAAAAAGGCAGAGUAACUUUUAUAGAUCCGACAGGUAUAGUGGGGUAUGGAAAUUAAUGAAGAUUUAUGUAGUUGAAAAAGAAAAGUUGAGGGAUGGCAGGUUUAGAGAUUAUAAUAAGUUGUAUGGCUUUGUUUUGAAGAAAAGUGAGUAGAUGUUGGGGCAAGCAGGGAAUGAUUAGUGGUGACCCACUUUCCAUUGCCUUGCCCAACAUGAUCAUACUAGAGCCAAUUACUGGUCUAUGUCUCUCUAUGACUCAUUUGAGUGCAUUUAUUUUGUCCGAACCAAAUCCUCACUCCUAGGAGGCUUCUUGAUGACAAAAGCA